AGUCGAGGGGUAUGGUUCUUCGGAACCAGAGACCGGCGCACGGGUGCGUAACGCGUAUGCAAUCUGCCUUUCACAGAGGGAUAGCCCAGAGAAAUUUGGAUUAAUACCUCAUAGUAUAGCGACAUCGCAUGAUGAUGCUAUUAAAGUCACAACGGUGAAAGAUGAGCAUGCGUCCCAUUAGCUAGUUGGUAAGGUAACGGCUUACCAAGGCAACGAUGGGUAGGGGUCCUGAGAGGGAGAUCCCCCACACUGGUACUGAGACACGGACCAGACUCCUACGGGAGGCAGCAGUGAGGAAUAUUGGUCAAUGGGCGCAAGCCUGAACCAGCCAUGCCGCGUGCAGGAUGACGGUCCUAUGGAUUGUAAACUGCUUUUGCACAGGAAGAAACACUGAUUCGUGAAUCAGCUUGACGGUACUGUGAGAAUAAGGAUCGGCUAACUCCGUGCCAGCAGCCGCGGUAAUACGGAGGAUCCAAGCGUUAUCCGGAAUCAUUGGGUUUAAAGGGUCCGUAGGCGGUCUGGUAAGUCAGUGGUGAAAGCCCAUCGCUCAACGGUGGAACGGCCAUUGAUACUGCUGGACUUGAAUUAUUAGGAAGUAACUAGAAUAUGUAGUGUAGCGGUGAAAUGCUUAGAGAUUACAUGGAAUACCAAUUGCGAAGGCAGGUUACUACUAAUGGAUUGACGCUGAUGGACGAAAGCGUGGGUAGCGAACAGGAUUAGAUACCCUGGUAGUCCACGCCGUAAACGAUGGAUACUAGCUGUUGGAAGCAAUUUCAGUGGCUAAGCGAAAGUGAUAAGUAUCCCACCU
This 808-nucleotide ribosomal RNA is filed under the name uncultured bacterium. Its description in RNAcentral is "bacterial SSU rRNA". It matches the Rfam family "Bacterial small subunit ribosomal RNA", at positions 60 to 874 of the family's 1533-position model. The record is from RNAcentral.